RNAcentral lists this ribosomal RNA (1449 nucleotides) under uncultured bacterium. RNAcentral describes it as "partial 16S ribosomal RNA". It matches the Rfam family "Bacterial small subunit ribosomal RNA". The record is from RNAcentral.
AGAGUUUGAUCAUGGCUCAGAACGUACGCUGGCGGCACGCCUAACACAUGCAAGUCGAACGCAGUAGCAAUACUGAGUGGCAGACGGGUGAGUAACAUGUGGGAAUCUGCCUUGUGGUUCAGGACAACAUUGGGAAACCGAUGCUAAUACUGGAUAAGCCCUUACGGGGAAAGUUUUAAUGCCAUAAGAUGAGCCCGCAUUUGAUUAGUUAGUUGGUGAGGUAAUGGCUCACCAAGACAAUGAUCAAUAGCUGAUCUGAGAGGAUGAUCAGCCACACUGGGACUGAGACACGGCCCAGACUCCUACGGGAGGCAGCAGUGGGGAAUCUUGCACAAUGGAGGAAACUCUGAUGCAGCGAUGCCGCGUGAGUGAAGAAGGCCUUUGGGUUGUAAAGCUCUUUUGUAGGGGAAGAUAAUGACUGUACCCUAAGAAUAAGGUCCGGCUAACUUCGUGCCAGCAGCCGCGGUAAUACGAAGGGACCUAGCGUAGUUCGGAAUUACUGGGCGUAAAGCGCGCGUAGGCCGUUGAGUUAGUUAAUUGUGAAAUCCCAAAGCUUAACUUUGGAACUGCAAUUAAAACUGCUCGACUAGAGUUUGAUAGAGGAAAGCGGAAUACAUAGUGUAGAGGUGAAAUUCGUAGAUAUUAUGUAGAACACCAGUUGCGAAGGCGGCUUUCUGGAUCAACACUGACGCUGAGGCGCGAAAGUAUGGGUAGCAAAGAGGAUUAGAUACCCUCGUAGUCCAUACCAUAAACGAUGAUUGCUAGAUGUUGGAAAUUUAUUUUCAGUAUCGCAGCUAACGCAUUAAGCAAUCCGCCUGGGGAGUACGACCGCAAGGUUAAAACUCAAAUGAAUUGACGGGGACCCGCACAAGCGGUGGAGCAUGUGGUUUAAUUCGAAGAUACGCGCAGAACCUUACCAACCCUUGACAUGUCUGUCGCGAGUUUAGGAAACUAGACUUUUCGGUUCGGCCGGACAGAACACAGGUGCUGCAUGGCUGUCGUCAGCUCGUGUCGUGAGAUGUUGGGUUAAGUCCCGCAACGAGCGCAACCCUUGCCAUUAAUUGCCAUCAUUUAGUUGGGCACUUUAAUGGGACUGCCGGUGACAAACCGGAGGAAGGUGGGGAUGACGUCAAGUCCUCAUGGCCCUUAUGGGUAGGGCUUCACACGUAAUACAAUGGUCGGUACAGAGGGCUGCCAACCCGCGAGGGGGAGCUAAUCCCAGAAAGCCGAUCGUAGUCCGGAUUGUAGUCUGCAACUCGACUGCAUGAAGCCGGAAUCGCUAGUAAUCGCGGAUCAGCAUGUCGCGGUGAAUACGUUCCCGGGUCUUGUACACACCGCCCGUCACACCAUGGGAGUGGGUUCCACCAGAAGUAGGUAGCCUAACCGCAAGGAGGGCGCUUACCACGGUGAGAUUCAUGACUGGGGUGAAGUCAUAACAAGGUAGCCGUA